This 413-nucleotide ribosomal RNA is filed under the name uncultured Lactobacillus sp. Its description in RNAcentral is "bacterial SSU rRNA". It matches the Rfam family "Bacterial small subunit ribosomal RNA", at positions 28 to 406 of the family's 1533-position model. Lineage: Bacteria; Bacillati; Bacillota; Bacilli; Lactobacillales; Lactobacillaceae. The record is from RNAcentral.
GAUGAACGCCGGCGGUGUGCCUAAUACAUGCAAGUCGUACGCACUGGCCCAACUGAUUGAUGGUGCUUGCACCUGAUUGACGAUGGAUUACCAGUGAGUGGCGGACGGGUGAGUAACACGUAGGUAACCUGCCCCGGAGCGGGGAUAACAUUUGGAAACAGAUGCUAAUACCGCAUAACAACAAAAGCCACAUGGCUUUUGUUUGAAAGAUGGCUUUGGCUAUCACUCUGGGAUGGACCUGCGGUGCAUUAGCUAGUUGGUAAGGUAACGGCUUACCAAGGCGAUGAUGCAUAGCCGAGUUGAGAGACUGAUCGGCCACAAUGGAACUGAGAUACGGCCCAGACUCCUACGGGAGGCAGCAGUGGGAAUAUUGCACAAUGGGCGCAAGCCUGAUGCAGCGACGCCGCGUGGGG